ACUCAUUUAGGUUGUACUACAUCUACACGCUGAGGACCAUAAUGGGUCUAAUUGUGUUUUUGUCCACCUUCGUUACUACAUUCUUAUCUACUGCAAUUGAUCGAUCAAUGUGUGCUUGUACCAUACAAUCAGAUACGGUGAUGUACAUGCACUGCGUAAUAAUAAUUUUAUAACCCAGUUUUCCAAAAGUCUGAAUGUCUCGGAGACUUCAGUAAGUCGAUAAACCAGGAACAGAAGGAACACUGUGAUCAACAGCUUUAUUUAGAAAACAUACAUCGUCCAAUAGGUGUAGAAAUGAAUGUUGUGAAGAUCUUGACCGUGGUUGUCACACAUAAAUAUAACCUGAAUCUGUCCAAGUCACAGCCCUGUAAAGUCCAUAAAGCU
Long non-coding RNA from Stegastes partitus (bicolor damselfish), 384 nucleotides. RefSeq lists it as uncharacterized. Lineage: Eukaryota; Metazoa; Chordata; Actinopteri; Pomacentridae. The record is from RefSeq and is a predicted model, not a curated record. The transcript is spliced from 2 exons.